AGCAGCCGCGGUAAUUCCAGCUCCAAUAGCGUAUAUUAAAGUUGUUGCAGUUAAAAAGCUCGUAGUUGAAUUUCGGGAUCAAUAUGUCGGUCGUGCCUUCGGUACGUACUGGUAUCAUUGGUCUCUCCUUUCUGACGAACCAUGAUGUCAUUAAUUUGGUGUUAUGGGGAGUUAGGACUGUUACUUUGAAAAAAUUAGAGUGUUUAAAGCAGGCUUUAGCUUGAAUACAUUAGCAUGGAAUAAUGAAAUAGGACGUUCGAACCUAUUUUGUUGGUUCCUAGGAUCAACGUAAUGAUUAAUAGGGAUAGUUGGGGGCAUUAGUAUUCAAUUGUCAGAGGUGAAAUUCUUGGAUUUAUUGAAGACUAACUACUGCGAAAGCAUUUGCCAAGGAUGUUUUCAUUAAUCAAGAACGAAAGUUAGGGGAUCGAAGACGAUCAGAUACCGUCGUAGUCUUAACCAUAAACUAUGCCGACUAGGGAUCGGAUGAUGUUAAUUUUUUAAUGACUCAUUCGGCGCCUUA
Molecule: ribosomal RNA, 520 nt
Filed under: uncultured Glomus
Lineage: Eukaryota; Fungi; Glomeromycota; Glomeromycetes; Glomerales; Glomeraceae
Description: SSU rRNA
Rfam family: Eukaryotic small subunit ribosomal RNA
Source: RNAcentral